AAGAGACUGAGAGAUGGAAGUGUGGAAGCGGGAAAGAGUGAGGGAAGCGAGGACAUAACAAGCGUAGAGAAAUGUGUGUGUGUUUGCUUAUUGCAGUGGCCCCACCUACCCCUCCAUCCAGUUAAGGAGGCAUAGUCCCGAAGAGGAGGAGGAAGAGGAAGAGGAGGAGGGAGAUGGAGGGAUCCCCUCCCUCAGCUAGCGACACACACACACACACCCACACCCCUCCUCUCCCUGUGGCUCACACACACACACACACACACCCUCUCUCUGCUCCAUGAGGCAGCAGUCGCUGAGCAGCUCUGGAUAGACCACGCGAGGUUCUGCAGGUGUCCCACCCUUCUCUUGAGGCAAGGAUGCUCCAGAAGUGACGGAAUAAGGAGAAUGGUUGAGAAAGAAGGGGAUGCAAAGGGAAAUUCAACAAAGCACUCCAGGACACGCUCUACAGCAAGAUGCCGCGACUGCAUGUGUUUGGUAUGGUCAGAGGCUGAAAGCUGGUCAGUGGGUGACCUGCGCGGGAUGCCUGGGUGACAUCUGACCUCUGACUGGGCGUGCGGAUUGACCCUGGAGGACAAGGUCCGACAAUGCGAGGCACGUGCCGUGGCCUAAUCUCCAUGGUAACGUAAGACCUUUCAGGGAACGGUGGGGAGCAGGGUUAGGGUUGUCUUUAUGUUGAUUGUUGUAAGACAUCUGCUGUCGAUUGACUCGCUGAAUGUAUGACGCCCCCAGUGCAAAACGGCUUUUAUACGACAGCCAGGGCCCGGGCAAGGAAGCUAAAGGCUAACUGGGUAAUCUCUGCAGGCAACUGUGAUUAUGCAUUUUGUUCUCACAAUCACCUGGAGAGAUUCUGCAGUUUGCCUUGCACUCGGUUUUCCAGAGUUUUUUAAAUUUUUUAUCUUACAGUUAAUUUAUAAGAUUAGAAAAACACAUUGUUAUCUAAACUGACUAAAUAUGUGAUUCUGUGAUCAAAAAGUGGUUUUGUUUUCUGUCUUAAUAAAGGAGUCUUUUAAAACAU
Xiphophorus hellerii (green swordtail) is the source of this 1015-nucleotide long non-coding RNA. RefSeq lists it as uncharacterized. The transcript is spliced from 3 exons. The record is from RefSeq and is a predicted model, not a curated record. Lineage: Eukaryota; Metazoa; Chordata; Actinopteri; Cyprinodontiformes; Poeciliidae.